UUGGAGAGUUUGAUCCUGGCUCAGGAUGAACGCUGGCGGUAUGCCUAAUACAUGCAAGUCGAGCGGAAACACUUCGGGUGUCGAGCGGCGGACGGGUGCGUAACGCGUUGGAAUCUGCCCCAAACUGAGGGAUAAGCCAUCGAAAGAUGGUCUAAUACCGCAUAUGGUCUACGGAUUAAAGCCUUCGGGCGGUUUGGGAGGAUCCUGCGUAAGAUUAGCUUGUUGGUGAGGUAAUAGCUCACCAAGGCGAUGAUCUUUAGCUGGUCUGAGAGGAUGAUCAGCCACACUGGAACUGAGACACGGUCCAGACUCCUACGGGAGGCAGCAGUGGGGAAUAUUGGACAAUGGGCGCAAGCCUG
This 359-nucleotide ribosomal RNA is filed under the name Candidatus Saccharimonadota bacterium. RNAcentral describes it as "bacterial SSU rRNA". It matches the Rfam family "Bacterial small subunit ribosomal RNA", at positions 1 to 385 of the family's 1533-position model. Lineage: Bacteria; Candidatus Saccharimonadota. The record is from RNAcentral.